UGAACGACUCUCGGCAAUGGAUAUCUCGGCUCUCGCAUCGAUGAAGAACGUAGCGAAAUGCGAUACUUGGUGUGAAUUGCAGAAUCCCGCGAACCAUCGAGUCUUUGAACGCAAGUUGCGCCCGAAGCCAUUAGGUUGAGGGCACGUCUGCCUGGGCGUCUCAC
Molecule: ribosomal RNA, 164 nt
Filed under: Camellia reticulata
Lineage: Eukaryota; Viridiplantae; Streptophyta; Magnoliopsida; Ericales; Theaceae
Description: 5.8S ribosomal RNA
Rfam family: 5.8S ribosomal RNA
About the family: 5.8S ribosomal RNA (5.8S rRNA) is a component of the large subunit of the eukaryotic ribosome. It is transcribed by RNA polymerase I as part of the 45S precursor that also contains 18S and 28S rRNA.
Source: RNAcentral